RNAcentral lists this ribosomal RNA (241 nucleotides) under uncultured bacterium. RNAcentral's name for it is "partial 16S ribosomal RNA". It matches the Rfam family "Bacterial small subunit ribosomal RNA", at positions 92 to 334 of the family's 1533-position model. The record is from RNAcentral.
CGACCGGCGCACGGGUGAGUAACGCGUAUGCAACCUGCCUGAUACCGGGGUAUAGCCCAUGGAAACGUGGAUUAACACCCCAUAGUACUUUUAUCCUGCAUGGGAUGUGAGUUAAAUGUUCAAGGUAUCGGAUGGGCAUGCGUCCUAUUAGUUAGUUGGCGGGGUAACAGCCCACCAAGACGAUGAUAGGUAGGGGUUCUGAGAGGAAGGUCCCCCACAUUGGAACUGAGACGCGGUCCAA